CUACAGCGUGGAGAAGCUGCGCGAGCUUAUCGCGCUUGGCGGCCCAGCGUUCGAGGCGCUGCUGAAGA
This 68-nucleotide transfer RNA is filed under the name Escherichia coli. RNAcentral describes it as "tRNA-Asp". The record is from RNAcentral. Lineage: Bacteria; Pseudomonadati; Pseudomonadota; Gammaproteobacteria; Enterobacterales; Enterobacteriaceae.